CCUCCCUGUUGCAAGCCGAGCCGCACGCGUAGCUUCCUGUACCGAGCCGAGCCGCGCCUGCGCCAAGCCGAGCCGGUCCCUGUCUUCUUCCAGCCGAGCCGCCAAGACCAAAUUGGCUCCAUCCACCUAAAUUUUGGUAAUUUAAUUAAUUAUUGUGGCAUUUCCCAGUAAGACUCCAUGCUUCGGACGUCAAUUAAAUUAAUUUGGGACUAAAAUUAAGUUAUUUUCCUUAAGGGACGUCUUGGACCAAGUAAUUGCUGCAGCGCGGGAAUUCUUCAGCAGGGGGGCUCGAGCACUGCAACCUCUCUAGGUUAGGACUUCGUCGCUUGGAAAGCGUACUGCCUCGCGGUUAGGACUCGACAAGUAGAUCUCCAGGUAGAGGACGAGGCAAGGGCAAGGGCAAGCUGGCGAGCGACCCGAAGUGAGACCGUGAAGGGCCAUAGGGACUACCGCUUCCGCUUAUCUUUAUUUCAGACUUUCGCAUUUGAGUUUGAGUACUUUUCAUUACUUACCAUCUUUUAUGUAGAUAGGGCCCGAGUAGGACUUCAGAACGCAUUUACACUUUUUUGCAUGACUACCUUGUUUAGUUUUUCAUAAAUGAAAUUUC
Long non-coding RNA from Cucumis melo (muskmelon), 607 nucleotides. RefSeq lists it as uncharacterized. NCBI's taxonomy places the organism in Eukaryota, Viridiplantae, Streptophyta, Magnoliopsida, Cucurbitales, Cucurbitaceae. The transcript is spliced from 3 exons. The record is from RefSeq and is a predicted model, not a curated record.